This 813-nucleotide ribosomal RNA is filed under the name uncultured bacterium. RNAcentral describes it as "bacterial SSU rRNA". It matches the Rfam family "Bacterial small subunit ribosomal RNA", at positions 626 to 1437 of the family's 1533-position model. The record is from RNAcentral.
GGCGAUACGGNCACGACUAGAGUGCUGUAGGGGUAACUGGAAUUCCUGGUGUAGCGGUGAAAUGCGCAGAUAUCAGGAGGAACACCGAUGGCGAAGGCAGGUUACUGGGCAGUUACUGACGCUGAGGAGCGAAAGCAUGGGGAGCGAACAGGAUUAGAUACCCUGGUAGUCCAUGCUGUAAACGGUGGGCGCUAGGUGUGGGCUGUGUGUUUGCAGUCUGUGCCGUAGCUAACGCAUUAAGCGCCCCGCCUGGGGAGUACGGCCGCAAGGCUAAAACUCAAAGGAAUUGACGGGGGCCCGCACAAGCGGCGGGCAUGUGGAUUAAUUCGAUGCAACGCGAAGAACCUUACCUGGGUUUGACAUGCACCAGAUCGGCGUAGAGAUACGUCCUCCCUUGUGGUUGGUGCACAGGUGGUGCAUGGUUGUCGUCAGCUCGUGUCGUGAGAUGUUGGGUUAAGUCCCGCAACGAGCGCAACCCUUGUCUUAUGUUGCCAGCACAUUUUUGGUGGGGACUCAUGAGAAACUGCCGGGGUCAACUCGGAGGAAGGUGGGGAUGACGUCAAAUCAUCAUGCCCUUUAUACCCAGGGCUUCACACAUGCUACAAUGGUCGGUACAACGGGUUGCGACACUGUGAAGUGAAGCUAAUCUCUUAAAGCCGGCCUCAGUUCGGAUUGGGGUCUGCAACUCGACCCCAUGAAGUCGGAGUCGCUAGUAAUCGCAGAUCAGCAACGCUGCGGUGAAUACGUUCCCGGGCCUUGUACACACCGCCCGUCACGUCAUGAAAGUUGGUAACACCCGAAGCCCAUGGCCUA